AUACGGAGGGUGCAAGCGUUACUCGGAAUCACUGGGCGUAAAGGACGCGUAGGCGGGAUAGUAAGUCUGAUGUGAAAUCCUAUGGCUCAACCAUAGAACUGCAUUGGAAACUACUGACCUAGAGUAUGGGAGGGGGAGAUGGAAUUAGUAGUGUAGGGGUAAAAUCCGUAGAUAUUACUAGGAAUACCGAAAGCGAAGGCGAUCUCCUGGAACAAUACUGACGCUAAGGCGUAAAAGCGUGGGGAGCAAACAGGAUUAGAUACCCUAGUAGUCC
Molecule: ribosomal RNA, 274 nt
Filed under: uncultured bacterium
Lineage: Bacteria
Description: partial 16S ribosomal RNA
Rfam family: Bacterial small subunit ribosomal RNA
Source: RNAcentral